UGAGAGGUUGAACAGCCGCAAUGGGAUUGAGAUAUGGCCCAUAUUCCUACGGGAAGCAACAGUGAGGAAUUUUUCACAAUGGACGAAAGUCUGAUGGAGCAAUACCACGUGAACGAUGAAGGUCUUCUGAUUGUAAAGUUCUUUUAUUUAGGAAAAAA
RNAcentral lists this ribosomal RNA (158 nucleotides) under uncultured Mycoplasma sp. RNAcentral's name for it is "partial 16S ribosomal RNA". It matches the Rfam family "Bacterial small subunit ribosomal RNA", at positions 293 to 450 of the family's 1533-position model. Lineage: Bacteria; Bacillati; Mycoplasmatota; Mollicutes; Mycoplasmatales; Mycoplasmataceae. The record is from RNAcentral.